GACAGAGGGUGCAAACGUUGUUCGGAAUUACUGGGCCUAAAGCGCACGUAGGUGGUCUGCUAAGUCAAGUGUGAAAUCCCCCGGCUCAACCGGGGAAUUGCGCUCGAUACUGGCAGGCUCGAGGUUGGUAGGGGUGAGCGGAACUCCAGGUGGAGCGGUGAAAUGCGUAGAUAUCUGGAGGAACACCGGUGGCGAAAGCGGCUCACUGGACCGAAUCUGACACUGAGGUGCGAAAGCUAGGGUAGCAAACGGG
RNAcentral lists this ribosomal RNA (253 nucleotides) under uncultured bacterium. RNAcentral describes it as "partial 16S ribosomal RNA". It matches the Rfam family "Bacterial small subunit ribosomal RNA", at positions 524 to 776 of the family's 1533-position model. The record is from RNAcentral.